UAUAAAUUUAAUAAAAAAUUCAGUUAACAUUGAAUCAAAUAGAAACAUUAUUUGUUCAAAUAAUAAAAAGUUUGAGAUAAUUUGUGGGGUGCCACAAAAAUUUAAAUGCUAAUUUUUGAGACAACAUUUUGAGAGUGAAUCAAAAGACUCACUAAUAAAUUAUUAUAACUUCAUACAGUACAGGAAUACACAUUUAAUUUUUUAAUUUCGGUGAUUUCAUCAGUUUCUCCAGGUCUUCGUCUGUAUAAAUACUUAUUACAGCUUCUUGAAGUAUUGAAGAACUCUGUAGUUCAACUGUAGUGAAGUGACAACUUUUCUUGUUCGCUCUUGAAGUGACAUCUGAUCCAAAUGUCAAUCAUCUCAGUAGUAGUCAGUCUCUGACCAGCAGUAUAAGGUCUCGUUUGACUGAUACCAUAAUUCAAGUCAAUUUAGGAUUUAAGAUAAAAGGACAAGAUAAACUUGUUAACACCAUAAAGAAAAUUAUACGAAAUUCCGGAAUCAUUGUAUUGAAUCGACAUUCACUGAAUUAUUGACAGCACUAUCUCAGUUCGACUUUAAUUUAGACGCACGAACAGCCAGCCUAAAUGCCAGCGAGAAAUAUAAUUGGUAACGAAAAUCGGAUUGUCGAGUAUGAGUUGGUGAGGGUAAAGAGAGAAUUGACGGUGGAGGAACGACUCGAACAGGAACGUCAGACACUUCGGGAAAUGAAUAGAGCUCGAAUAAACGAGGCAAGGUUGAAAGAGGAAGAGACCAAGCUCAGGUUAAAGGCAACUAAAAAUUUCCACAAACUAUUGUUUGAGGUGGCAAGAAGAAAAGUGGUGACAACAAGGUUGAGAAUGGAGGAGGCGAGGUUAAGUAUGAAGAUGGCGAGGGCAAGGAUGGAGGAGGCGAGGUUAAGGAUGGAGGAGUCGAGGUUAAGGAUGGAGCAGGCAGAACAAAAAUAGUGUAUUAAAUAAAUAAUAAAUAAAU
RNA transcript from Aethina tumida (small hive beetle), 969 nucleotides. It is a transcript of the gene named arginine and glutamate-rich protein 1-A-like, with no coding region annotated. NCBI's taxonomy places the organism in Eukaryota, Metazoa, Arthropoda, Insecta, Coleoptera, Nitidulidae. The transcript has 2 exons. The record is from RefSeq and is a predicted model, not a curated record.